RNAcentral lists this transfer RNA (69 nucleotides) under Marmota monax (woodchuck). Its description in RNAcentral is "tRNA.Ala". The record is from RNAcentral. Lineage: Eukaryota; Metazoa; Chordata; Mammalia; Rodentia; Sciuridae.
GGAUGCAGCUCAGUGGUAGAGCAUGUGCCUAGCAUAUGCAAAGCACUGGGUUCAAUCCCCCAGCACCCA